Molecule: small nuclear RNA, 19 nt
Filed under: Arabidopsis thaliana (thale cress)
Lineage: Eukaryota; Viridiplantae; Streptophyta; Magnoliopsida; Brassicales; Brassicaceae
Description: snRNA_16460
Source: RNAcentral
CUACCAGUAUAACUUUCUU